RNAcentral lists this transfer RNA (759 nucleotides) under uncultured Alphaproteobacteria bacterium. RNAcentral describes it as "partial contains 16S ribosomal RNA, 16S-23S ribosomal RNA intergenic spacer, and 23S ribosomal RNA". The stretch from base 168 to 241 matches the Rfam family "tRNA". Lineage: Bacteria; Pseudomonadati; Pseudomonadota; Alphaproteobacteria. The record is from RNAcentral.
UCUAAGGAUGAGCUUUGUUAAGCGAUCCAGUCUUCGGAUUGGUGAUGCUUCAAACCUCUCAUUAGAUAACGGCGCUAGUUUCGAGUCGAUCUAGCGCUUUGCAAUACAACGCGGGAUUACCCGCCGUCUUCGUUUCUCUUUCUUCACACACGAAUGGACGCUUACAAGGGCCUGUAGCUCAGUUGGUUAGAGCGCGCGCUUGAUAAGCGUGAGGUCGGAAGUUCAAAUCUUCCCAGGCCCACCACUUUUCUCGUCUUUGGGCAGAGUGAUGGGCGGGCUGAUUUGGAAAGCUAGACGUCACCGGGAUAGGGGCCAUAGCUCAGCUGGGAGAGCGCGUGCUUUGCAAGCAUGAGGUCGUCGGUUCGAUCCCGUCUGGCUCCACCAUUUUUGAUGGUGUUGGCGACUCCGCUUCGCGGAGCUGGCCGCCAACACGGGCUUGUGGCGCCGGCCGCCAAUACAUUCGUGUGAUUGAAGAGACAACGGUUCCGUUGUGAGCUCUGCUCCAACGCGAAGACACUAAUUGACAUCGUAUAGAGGGACUAAUGCCUGAGGCGCGUACCCCGCGCUAUCUGCACAGAUCUUCCGCCGACAGUGGAAGUUCGGGUUUAGUCUGAUUGACUUCUAGGUUCGUUCGUGCGGACCGCAUGCUUCGGUGUGUGGCUCGUGUGAAUUGAACCUGGUCUUUCUGGUCAAUGCUUACAGUCGAACAUGCUUGGAAAUCCGCACUCCUUCUUUGCCGAGGGAAUAGUGUUGGGUCUA